GAUGAACGCUGGCGGCGUGCCUAAUACAUGCAAGUCGAGCGAACGGACGAGAAGCUUGCUUCUCUGAUGUUAGCGGCGGACGGGUGAGUAACACGUGGAUAACCUACCUAUAAGACUGGGAUAACUUCGGGAAACCGGAGCUAAUACCGGAUGAUAUUUUGAACCGCAUGGUUCAAAAGUGAAAGACGGUUUUGCUGUCACUUAUAGAUGGAUCCGCGCUGCAUUAGCUAGUUGGUAAGGUAACGGCUUACCAAGGCAACGAUGCAUAGCCGACCUGAGAGGGUGAUCGGCCACACUGGAACUGAGACACGGUCCAGACUCCUACGGGAGGCAGCAGUAGGGAAUCUUCCGCAAUGGGCGAAAGCCUGACGGAGCAACGCCGCGUGAGUGAUGAAGGUCUUCGGAUCGUAAAACUCUGUUAUUAGGGAAGAACAUAUGUGUAAGUAACUGUGCACGUCUUGACGGUACCUAAUCAGAAAGCCACGGCUAACUACGUG
Molecule: ribosomal RNA, 497 nt
Filed under: uncultured bacterium
Lineage: Bacteria
Description: partial 16S ribosomal RNA
Rfam family: Bacterial small subunit ribosomal RNA
Source: RNAcentral